Molecule: ribosomal RNA, 504 nt
Filed under: uncultured bacterium
Lineage: Bacteria
Description: partial 16S ribosomal RNA
Rfam family: Bacterial small subunit ribosomal RNA
Source: RNAcentral
AUUGGACGCUGGCGGCAGGCCUAACACAUGCAAGUCGAACGGUAGCACAGAGAGCUUGCUCUCGGGUGACGAGUGGCGGACGGGUGAGUAAUGUCUGGGAAACUGCCCGAUGGAGGGGGAUAACUACUGGAAACGGUAGCUAAUACCGCAUAACGUCGCAAGACCAAAGUGGGGGACCUUCGGGCCUCACACCAUCGGAUGUGCCCAGAUGGGAUUAGCUAGUAGGUGGGGUAAUGGCUCACCUAGGCGACGACCCCUAGCUGGUCUGAGAGGAGGAACAGCCACCCUGGAACUGAGACACGGUCCAGACUCCUACGGGAGGCAGCAGUGGGGAAUAUUGCACAAUAGGCGCAAGCCUGAUGCAGCCAGGCCGCGUGUAUGAAGAAGGCCUUCGGGUUGUAAAGUACUUUCAGCGGGGAGGAAGGCGGUGAAGUUAAUAGCUUCACCGAUUGACGUUACCCGCAGAAGAAGCACCGGCUAACUCCGUGCCAGCAGCCGCCGCAG